This 124-nucleotide long non-coding RNA is filed under the name Numida meleagris (helmeted guineafowl). RNAcentral's name for it is "lncRNA (ENSNMEG00000000848.1)". The record is from RNAcentral. Lineage: Eukaryota; Metazoa; Chordata; Aves; Galliformes; Numididae.
CCCAUAGAUGUGGCUCUGCCCCAUAGAUGUGGCUCUGCCCCAUAGAUUUGGGACCCAUAGGGAUCUGCCCCAUAGAUGUGGGACCCCCAGAUCUGAUCCCCCCCCCAUGUACAGAGCCCAGCAG